AGUUGAAACCUAUUUUAAAAUUGCAUUACAUGAAAUAUACAUUCCAAUACAGCCAGUAUUCAUCUUAUUUCAUUUCUAAAAUGGUUUUUAUCUCUCAAGUUCUAUAACAUAAAAAAUUAGACUAUAUUAACUAUUGAACUGAUUGUUUUUUAAAAUAUGGUUUUUUUGGGGGGUUGUACCAAAGAUGGAACUCAAGACCUCUCCCUUGUCAGGCAGGCAUGGUGCCACUGAGUUACAUCCCAGCAUUAAAAUAUGUAUUUUUUACUUUUAUUAAAAUACACAGGAAAUGUUAGAAAAUAAAAGCCUAUGAAAUUAAUGCAGUUAAUUCUGAUUUUCAUACGGCAGUUUUAAUUUUUCUCAAAAACUAUAAUCCAAAUUUAGAUAGACAUGCUCACUCUUUUUCUGAAGGAAUUUUGUUAAAUUUUAUUAUAUUUUGAUGGACUUAUAAUAAUGUUCACUAUACAUAAUAUUACAAAAGAAAUUAUGACAAACAACCUUGAUUUAUUGUCAUUGCUUUCUUACUUGUCAUGAAAUAUCUUAUAAUAAUUCCAAUUUAUUUAUAUAUUGACUCAAGUUUUUGAGUCAGAAAUUUUGCAAGACAAAGUAAUGUUUCUACCAGUUUUUGAAAGAUUGCUCCUCAGAAAAGUUAUUCAAAUAUUUGUUUUAAUAGAAAACCUUAGAUUAUUUUCUUAUUGAAAAGGAUUAUGGGGCCUGCCAAAGUGGCUCAUACUUGUAAUCUGAGCAUUCUACGAGGCUGAAGCAAGAGGAUUGCAAGUUUUUGCCCAAUCUGGGCAAGUGAACAACUUAAUGAAAACCCUAUCUGAAAAGAAAGUAAUUUAAAAGUAUUGGUGAGGUAGUACGCUGUGAAGGCACCGAGUUCAUACCUCAGUAAAACACACAUACACACACACAGACACACACACACACACACACACUUUAUUCUAAUUCAUGAAUUGUUUUGACAAAUGACUAGUUUUGCUAAUUACAAUAUAUAGGAGAUAUUCUUCACAAAAUGAAUAAAUCUACAGGUAAAAUAAGUGUUUGAGGAAACAUUUAUGAAAUGUUCAUGAGUUUAUAAGAGUUUAUGAAAAAUUAGAAGAAUGUUUGCAAGAAAUACUGUAGUCAGUGGUAGUAAUUAUAUACAUAUUAUUUUCCCCCAAGAUUUCUGAAUGUAUCAUUUUGAGCAGAAUGUCUCCAGUGAAGGAACAGCAAGUAUAAAUGAUUCUCAUUAUUUGUCAUAGUUGUGUUCUAUAAAGUCACAAUAAAUACUAAAUUAUUGAUUGCUGAAUCACUGCUCCUAUGGGAAAUACAGAGUUAAGUAGAGCCACUGGUCACAGCACUUCCAUCAGUGAAUCAAUAAAUUACACUGAAUUCACAGCCAACAGCACUGUAACUCAUCCUUAAAUGAAGCUUCUCUAACAUCCAUAUUUCCCCUCAUAAGGUACAUCACACCCUUCUUGUACUUAGGAACAUUAGAAAGCAUGUCAGUACUAUGCUUGGGGAGUAUUUUAAGCAGAAAAAAAAAUACAAAUCAAAAUGCAUCACAAUUCAAAAAGUAAAAGUGAUGCUGAAUACAUAACAAGUAAUUCAUUUGUAGCUUGUAAACUGAAACGAGAGGCAGCCAUCGUUCUGUUUGACCACAACUGGAAACAUGCAUGUCAAACAGCUCAAACUUGUUGCCAUUCUAGAAAUGGCCAAUGACAAUAAAAGUGUCAUGAAUAUUGAUUUGAGGGUGAUAAAUAAAUAUUAUCAAAUAGAUAAUUCACAAAUAUAGAAUCCACACAGAAUUGAGGAUUGACUCUAUUUUGGUAUGAUUUCCAGAAACUUCAAAAGGCUUUUGCAAGUUAGUACACAAGCAAAAACUUCUCAGCCAGUACUCCUUUGGAUGUAACAUUUUGAGGCAAUGGUCUUCCAGGUUCAGCCUCCCAGGGUGCUGAAAUUUUGUAUAGAACAAUCCUCAUAUAUGUCCCUACUUUGCUGUGUAAUUUCUACAAUGAUUACUUCACACCUUUUUUACUUAUGUCAAACCUUUGAAAUCAAAAGUUCUGUCAUUCUCAUAAAUACUUUUGCCUUCUGAAACUCUAUUGCUUGAUCAAUGUUUUAUAUUCUUUCCAAUAUACAAAAUAUUUAUCUGUACCUGAUUACUCUAUAUCAAAACUUUCUAUUUGCUUCUCUGACUCUCUCAUUAGACUACAAAUUCCAGAAGGCAGGAGUUUUGUUUUUAAUGUUUAUUAUUUUAUCCACUUUAUUUAUCAGGGUUACAAAAUUGUGAUAAAAACAAAAAGGUUUAAAAAUAGGUAAAUAGAAUUUUUGUUUACACAACACAGUUGAAUAAAUAAAAGCAAGACUUCACACUGAUACAAACAUAUAAAACUGUUUUACCAAAAGAACAUAAUGUUUAUUGGAGUGAAAAAGAAAGGGAAAUUUUUGGAUGUAAAAAUAAAACUCAAUGGGGAAAAAAAUAAGAACCAAGAUGCAUCAUGUACAGGUACAAACACCCAAUGAUAAAUGUAAAUGAAUUGUAUACCUAAAAUGUACCAGUAAAAGAACUUAGAAAAAAAAAAACUCAAUAGUAAUUCCAGCAGGCUACUCCUCAGAAAAAUAAAGGCCAGAGACAUUGGAAGAAUAUCUUCAGAGUUUACAGGAAAAAUAAAUGUUAACCAGAAUCUUAUAUACAGAUAAAUUAACAUUAAAUAAUUGUUCUUAAAGUCUUUUUUCAAUCAGAGUCAAGAUAAAAUUCACAAUCCCUCAUUGAAAAUAUUGCUAAAAGGAUAAACAUAUUGAAGAAAAUUGAAUUUUGAAGAUGAAUAGAAUUAAGUAGAAUAACUGAAAUAAUUCUGUAAAUAGGAAACCCCAAACAUUAUUGCUCAAAAAAUAUAGCAACAACAGCAACAACAAUAAAAUUAACAACAACAACAGUAACAACAACUGUGACAACAAGGACUGAUCUUGUGAUGAAGUGCUAUUGAAUGUUAGCAUUAUGUAUACUUCUUACCUUCUGGACAAUUGUUUCUCUUCACCUCAUUUUGACUAUAAAUAAUUUGGUCAAACGUCAUGUCUGCGUCAGGCAAGAAUUCCUCAACAUGAUUUUUUACCUUUUUAAAUUAUCCUUCCUCUUCCUUUUAUAUAUGAAUAUUGAUCACAGACACCAAAGACUCUAUAAGUAGAUAAUCAAUUCCAGUACUGUAUUAUGGACAACAAAUUUCAAAUACUGCAUAUCAACAACAGAAAACUCAAUUUUUUUAUUUACUAUUUGAUAAAAACAAUGUAGAUGGUAAAGACAGUAUUAAACUUAAGUCACUGAAGAGGAUGAUUCAAGUUCAAGAAAACUUACUACUCUUCUGACCUUGGACCUAACCACUUCGGCCCUUUAUUGUCUUCUAAAGAAAAGAUUAAAAUGUUUUUUGCUCACCCCAUUGACUUUGGAAAACACAUAUGCAAAUCACUGAAAAUAUAUGAAGGACAUUUGUAACAACAUAAUGCCGUCCAAAUGCAAAGAAAUACUACUCUGGGACACUAGCUUUAAGACACGUAGAUUCAAGCUUUCUUCAAAAAAUCCUUCUCCUAGAUGAAUUUACUUUUUUAGAAGUCUUUCUUCUUGAACUGAAUUGUCAAGAGUUGAGGCUGGACUUAGAAACUAGUGAAAUUGUUACUUAGCUAUCAAGCACAUAGCGAUGAUAUUCCAAAUUCUAUGUCUCAUGUGGGGUCAAACUAAAAAAUAGUUUAGUUCACAUCAAACAGGAGAGGAAAAUGAGAGCCUCUGUGAGACAAGAUUGACAGAAAUUUCAGAAAGCAAAGUCUUAUGCUUUUGUAAGAGCAAAGAAUCCAGUUGGAGGGAAUCCUUAUGGAUUUCUCUGACUUGCAGCAGUAAUAAGGAGAGACUGAGCACAUUCAGACAUGGUCCAGUGCAAAAUAAGAAAAGCUACAAUACUGCUUUUAUUUGCCAUUUAUCUGUUAGAUACUUAUCUAUUUAUCUGUUAGAUGGACUUAUUCCUCUGUCAAUUGAGACCCAUGACAAAUUAGAAAAAAGUAAGAAAAUCAGGAUUAAAACAAAGAGUGUGAAAUCUUGAAAUCAAUUUUAAUGUAUUGAUAUUGAAUCAUAACAUUGUAUUCAUUUAAUAAUUAUUUUUAAUUCUAUCUUCCCCAUAACCACACCCAAAAUAAUAAUAGGUACAGAUAGAAAAAUAGUCUGAAGUCUUAAAAUAUUUUUAAAUAAAGGUUUUGUUAAUGAACAGAAGGAAAAAUGGAACAUUUUGACUUAUUCUGGGCAUAAUGUUAAAUUUAUUUAAAAAUUCAAGAUGAUAUAAUUUCUUUUAAAAUUAUAUUCUUAUAUUAGUACUACACUUUUGAAAAUUAGAGUUAAUGUGGCAUUUUGACCACCACUGUCCAACAGAAAUAUAAUUUUGGACAUAUGUACAACUUUAAAUUUUUAUUUAACCUAAUGUAUCUAAAAUAUUUUCACAUAUAAUCAAUAUAUUUUCAAAAUGCAAUCAAUUUCAAAACAGGUAUUGAUUAUAUAUUUCAUAUAUUUCAUUUUAAAUAUGAUACAGUAUUGUUUUGGUUUCAGGGAAUCUUGAUGGUAGGGGCGAUUAUACAGAUGAUAUAUUUGGUUUUUUACAAGUUAAACUGUACACUUGAACUGGAUGCAUUUUAUAUAAGUAUGAUGUCAACAUGGAUAUACAAUAUUAAUAUACCAUUAAAUAUUAAAAAGUAUCUAAUAAAUAAAAACACUAACUUGUUGCAAAAAGAAUAAAAACCACUAAAUAGAUUAAUAAAUAAUAAUUAAAGUGGUAGUCAAAGACUACUUAACUUAUUAAAAAGAUGCCCAUAGCUUCACAGGUCAGUUUUCCUAAAUGUUUUAAGCAUAUGUAAUUAUCUUCUACAAGUUGUCACAACAAAUUAUAAAAGAGCAAAAAUUACCCAAAUCGCUUUUCUAAACCGUUGUUACUUUAAUUAACAAAGUGUACUCAGAAAAUACAAAGCAAGGAAAUUACAGGACUUCUUCAUUUGUAAUGACAGAUAAAAAUUCUUAAGAAAAUCCUAAGUAACUGAUUUCUAUUGUACGUAACAAUAAUAAUGAUUUUUAAAAAUCAGGAUAAAAUGCAGUGUUUUAUUUGCUCACAUUUAAGUGAGUUGAUUAAAUUGAUCUCUAGUAUGGAACUUAUGAGCAACUGUGUAGAUUUUGUUUCAGUUCCUCCCAAACAAUUUCAUCUGGCCCUCAGCAUGGUGUGGAUGAUCGGUGUUAGUAGAAGCCAAUCUUCCUUUAUUCAGACUCUGUGUCCAUCAAAUGGAGCCUUUAGGAGAUUAGAAUGAACAUAUUACAUUCAUUUGGAAAUACAAGCAUCACCUGUAUAUCAAUCAUUACUUAAACUAGGACCAUCCAAAUGACCUGUGGGAACUGACUGAUUUAUCUUCAAGAUCAAUCUGAAGGUGAACUAAUGUGAUCUUUUCCUUUGAUUUCCUUUAUUAGUCAAAGUUCUGUCAGUUCAAUAAAUAGAUAUGUUAUAUGUAACUACUCACAAAGUAGAUGGAAAAGAAGAAACGCAAACAUCAUCCUUGUUAAAACCUAUGAAAUUAGAGACUAGAGUUGUCUGCCAAGAGAUGGAACUGAGGAACAAAUGUAGCCACUUUGAGAAUUCCCAUUCAAGAAUCCUCAGAGUGGGAAGUAUGAUCCAGCUUUCAUUUUGUCCGCAUACUCCAGUGUGCUGCCAUUGAUUCUUGGAACUAGACAGGAACUUACCUGAGAUACAAAGUGUACACUGCUCACUUUUGUUGAUACAUGCAUCAAAUAUAUGAUAUCCAAUUUUUUUUUUUUUUUGGUACUGGGGAUCAAACUUGGGUCUUUGCACUUGAGAGGCAGGCAGCAGAACCACUGAGCUAAAUCCCCAGCCCCUUCAAAUACAUGAUAAUAAAAACAUUUUUUAUAAAAAGAUCAGGUUAGAGACAGGAUGAGUUUGAGGACAAACAAGAUAUAAUCAACACAAUUUCUUUUUAUAUCUGUCAGCUGACCUUUUCUCAGAUGAUGAUAGAUAAUUUUUCUAGGAGGAAAAAUACACUUUAUGUUUACCAAAAUAAGACUGAUAAAUUUAUUUCUUGUCUCAGUCACAAGUAAACUUACUACCUGAUCUGUAUUUCUAUCACUCAGUAACAAAUGUUCGCUUUUACCUGAAUGAAUGUAACAUUUUUAAUAGUAUGAACAAAAUGAGGAAAACUGAUUAAGAUAGUAGUUUUCUCUCCUUAUGCCUUCAUAAUCCUUUGUUUUCACCCUGAAGCAGAUGAGCAUUCAUUGUCAGGGAGCUAUUGAUGACCCAUCUUUAGGUGCAGGCAACAGAUAUUCGAAGAGAGUGAAUACACACAGCCAAACAGGUGGCUUGAUAUGAAGGUUUAAAUCCAUCCCCUUGCCCCACACACAAAAUUUAUUUUCAUGCUUGCUCUAUCGAGUGGAAAGAGAUGGGAAUAUAUUAGAUUUCUGUGGAUGCUACAACAAAUUACCACAAUCUGUUCAACAUAAAAUGAAAACAAAUCGUUCUUUAAGUUCUGGAAAACAAAAGUCUGAAGUUAAGAUGUUUCAAAGACCUACUCCCUUCAGACUCUUCCUGUCACCUGGCUUUUCCUGGCUGUUAGUGACCUGGAAAGAAUUCACUUGGACUAUCUCACCAGUGAUGUGAGACCAUGCACAAGUGAGGAAGUGGUUUCAAAGCAAGUUUAUUGCAAAGUAGGAUAUGGUUAGAAGGCAAGCUGGGAUGCCACCAUAGUCUUUGUGACCCCAUUUGUUAUGUUUUUUUAAAUUUUUCUAUACUUCUUGAUGUGGGGUAUUUCCCACUCUACUCCUUCAGACAUAUGAUUUACCCCUGCCCUACAUUCAAUUUUGAAGUAUGCAUAUAUUUUCCAAUCAUUCUUCUGUAAUUAAUGGCAUACAUGAGAUGUGGUGCCUAUGUAUGAAGCCAUAAGCAUAUGAUGAGGAGGAUAGGUCAACCCAAGGACACUUGGGGCAAUCAGUGCACAUGGCCUGCUCGGUGGACAGUCCGUAGCUCUCUUUUGUGUGUAGUCUAUGGUCACCUCUCCACUUAGGGUUCUCUUUGACUUGUUGAGAUGCUCUCAUACCUUGGCCCCUUCCCAUUAUUAAACAAAGCUAAAUAUUAUUCCCAUUAUUAAACAAACACAGUUCAACCAUCCUUGACCACCUGCCACAAGAACUACCUGCACCAUGUUAACAGUUCUAGAGACCACCUCCUACUGCUCAUAUAUGACUCUCUUUCUAUAUUAUCAUUCAUAUUCUAGCUUCUAGGAACUAUCAGUCUCCUUAACUUUCUCAACUUAGUGGCCAUUGUUCAUCAUCUAUUUGUCACUAUAACAAACAAACAAAAAAAGAAAAUCAAUUAAAGAGGAAAGUUUUGCUUUGCCUCACAGUUUUAGUGGUUUCAGUCCCUGACCACCUGAUUGAAUUGCUGUGUGCCUGUGGAAAAGCAGAAACAUCAUGGUGAAAGAGCAUGGCAGAGGAAAGCUGCUCAUCUUAUGGCAGUAGGAACCAGAGACAGUGAGAAAAAGCCAGAGAGGAAGGACAGAGGACUAGAUUUAUUUCCUAAAACCACAAGCCCAUGAUGUAUUUCUUCAUCUCCUAUUUUCAUAACCUCCUCAUAAUGCCAUCAAGUAUGAUCUCAUCAAUGGGUUAAUCCAUUUGGUAAAAUUAUAGCCCUCAUGAUCUGAUCACUUCCCAAAAAGCCCAUGAACUACAACCAAGUUUUUUAGCCAUGAGCUUUUGGAGGACAUUUCAAAGCCAAAUUACAACAGGGUCCAUCGAUCUAACCUCUGACUUCUUCACAUCCCGUCUUCUCUUUGGUUUGUGUAUUUUUCUUAUUUGUUGUCUAAAAUUUCCCUCUGCCUUUCUCUCAUAAGGAACCAUGUCAUUUUGGGGUCUAUUCCUAUAAUAGUAGAGUAUCACAUAUUAAAAUUUUUGACAUAAAGUCCCCUUUUCCAAGUGGAGUAGCUUUUAAGAUGUCUUCAUUUUGAAAGGUAAACUGCAAGACUAAUAAAAUUUAGCUUCAAUAUAUUUCUCUCUUGGAAACAGAAAGAUCAAAACAAAUUUAUCUUCUCUUACAAACUUUGACUUAUGUUAGUUUCCAAAGUUUUACUUUUGCUUCUACAAUGAUACUUCUUUAACUAGAGCCAUCUAUUUUUUGGGGAAUUAAUACAGAGCUCCAGAAGGGAUUCCAAUUGCAAUACCAAAUUGCACUGAAACAGAUUAAUUCAGGAGGCCUAUUUCCAUGCUUUGCACACACCUAUAAUACAAUGUACACAUGCAUCAAUGUGACUGUGUAGGCUGUCGACCUGGGAAAAUGUCAGGAUGAAAAGAUAUAUAAGGUACACAUACAAGUCUUAAUUUUUCACAGACCUCAUAUAUUCUCCUCUGCUGGCUACUCCAGGAAAUGACUGUAGCAAAUUGGUGGCAACUACUAAUUUCAGACUGCUGUGCUAAGCCUAGCAAAAGUACACAUGACUACUGUACCAUGUUGGAAAUAGAGAAGCACAAUAAAAUUGCAAACUUGUCUAACUAGUUGAGAAAUACUCAAGGGUCAUUUUGAAUGACAGUCUUCUAGCUCUGCACAAAGUAUAAGCUAAUCCCAGAAAAUGGAAUCCCCAUAGAAAAAAAUCAGUAUACUUCAUCAUUUGAUAUUGCUAUAUGCCACAUUUUUUUGAUAUACAUUUUUUUAAGGGGAAAUGGUUUAUUUGGUUUACAGUUUGUAGAGGUUUCAGUCCAUAAUUGUGUGGCUCCAAAGAAGGGUGACAUGGCAGACAGGCCUUCCAGAGGAAAAAUAGUUCAUGGUGCCCACACAGUAGCAAAAGCAACAAAUGACCUUAAGAGCAUUUUUUCUGCCCCUUUUAUCUUAUUCAGAAUUUAAGGUGGGUUGUAGUGCCCUCAAGCCUAGCCCCACCAUGAAUCAAUCACACACUCUAGAUUCAGCCACUUCCAUAAUAGCCCCACUUCAUUCUUAUGAGGCUUUGGGGGAAACAUCUAAACACAAGCCAUAACAUUCUUCCCCUGGUCCCUCAUAGAUUCAUGUACAUUCCUUUACUCAAAAGGCAUUUAGUCCAUCUCUAAGAGUAUUGGUGAAAAGUUUCAGUAUUGGUGAAAAGUCCAAAUUCAAUGUCUCCUCUGCAAUUUAAGGCAAAAUGGCAAACUGGCAAACUCUUAGCUGCAAGCCCCUGUACAAAUGGAAAGAAAGUUAAACACUUCCAACAUUCAGUGGCACAGCACAAGAUAGACAUUCCAAAAGUUACAGACAGGAAGAUACAAAGGAAUGGGAACAAUGCAAGUCCAAAACCCACCAGGGCAAACACUAAAUCCCACAGUUCUACUUCCAGCAUACCCAGCAAGUUAUGAACUCCAAAGGGCUUAGUGGCUCUGCCCCUGACACAUUUCUGUGGUUGUAGCUUCCAUGGCUCCCUUCUUGGGCUGGCUAUGCUCCCUCCUUGCAGUUUUCCUCAGAAGAUCUAUGAUCCUGGCUUCUCCAACAUUUGCGGUCUCUACUGCACUUUUGGUUUCACACUCACAGGUUCAAACACUGCCCUCUCAGGGGCACACUGCCUGGCCUCCCAGGCCUUCUUCUGAAAUAUGGGUGGAAGCCUUCCUGACCACAAAACUCUUGGAUUCUGAAUGCUCCUGAAACCAGCACCAUAUGGAUGACACCAAGGUCUGCUGCCAGCUGGAGCUGUAGCCAGGCUUCCUUCUCUCUUAGUUGAAAGGGUGGCAUGGCAGCUAUGUGCCUAUGAACCAAAUCCCUAGGAACAACAUCCCUAGGCUGUUGUCAUUCUGGAGCAUGGUGCUCUGGGGAUCUCUUCUGAAAGCCAAGCCCUUCACUUUUGCAAUUUUGAGGUUUCAAAGGCUGGAGUCCUGCUGUUGCUUGUAAUGUCCUUAGGCCAUCUUUUCUAUUCUCCUGCCCCUUCUCAGCAAUCAAGAUUUACUCUGUUCUGUCUUUGCAGUUCACAGCUUUACUGGAACUUCCUUUCUAGCCACACUCACAGAAUUUUAAAUCAUUCCUCUGGGCUUUUUGCUCUUGAUUCUCAACCUAGAUCUGGCUAAAAGCCCUCAACAGCAGCCACACCAUGGCCUCCACAAUAGCCUGCCUUGAAAUUUCUUCUGUGAAAUUAAUUAGUCCACCACACUUAAUGUCAGUCUCAAGGAAAGCCUCUGAACAUGAGCAAAAUGCAGACAAAAUUUCUGCCAAGCUUAACACACAUCUUCUGGAGUCCAAUAGCCAAUGUGAUUCUUCAUCCGAGCAGUAACCUCCUGAGCCUGGUUUUUAUCAGUCUUCUCCUCUUCUGAGCUCUGAUCAGAACUUCUCAUACAGAACAGCUUAAGAUGUUCCAGUUCUACAUCUACAGCCAGCCUCUCCAACUCUUUCCUUUCCUUUUCCACAAGCAAGUUCCAAAGGCUCUUGAGCCACUUGGCCAGGUAAUGUCACAGCAACAACCCCACUCUCAGUACCAAAUUUCUGGGUUAGUUACUUUUCUCAUUGCUGAAACAAAAUACCUGGCACCCAAAGUUAAAAGGGAAAGGGUUUAUUCGGCAAACAGUUCAUAGAGGUUUCAGUCCAUAAUUGUCUGGCUUCAAGGAAGGGUGGCUUGGCAGACAAGCCUUCCAGAGGCAAAAUAGUUCACGGUACCCACACGGUAGCAAAAGCAACAAGAGACUUUAAGAGCGUUUUUUUCUUCCCCUUUUAUUUUAUUCAGACUACUUAGGGUGGGUAGAACUCAUACCCUUAAUCUUAGUGCUCUCAGGCCUAGCCCCACCAUGAUUCAAUCACACAUUCUAGAUUCAGCCACCUCCAAAAUAGCCCCACCUCAUUCGCACAAGGCCUUGGGGCAACAUUUAAACACAAACCAUAAUAUAUAGUGAGCUGCUUAAGUCUCAAAUUAUACAAAAAGCUUGAGUCAUUAUCAGCCACAGCAGGGCAUAGAGCUCCAUGUCACUCCCCAGAUACACACCUCACACCCAUGUGCCCAAUGUGACGAAGCUGGGGAAGAUACUUCUCAUUCACACAGCUCAGGGAUAGAAAUAAAAGAGGCUGCUCCUGCCCAAUGUCACCUAAGAAACAGAGCCUGCACUUAUUCAUCAGUUCUGCCUCACUCCAGAACCCAAGUCUUCACUCCUAUGCUAUGUAUGACAGACCAUAUAUCAGGUCCUGAGGACACAGUGGUAACCAAAACAAGCAAGACCCUGUCUCUAUAAAGCUGCCCAACCAGUUUGGACAGUUAUUUUUAGAACUGUUUACACUAAUGGAAAAGCAUAUACUACCAGGAAAUCCUAACCUGGGGAAGACUUCUCUUACAAAGUGGUAUUCAAGCUCAGACCUAAAGUAUAAGCAAGAGUUGGCCAGGGGAGGAGUAGAAAAU
RNAcentral lists this long non-coding RNA (11394 nucleotides) under Heterocephalus glaber (naked mole-rat). Its description in RNAcentral is "lncRNA (ENSHGLG00100038128.1)". The record is from RNAcentral. Lineage: Eukaryota; Metazoa; Chordata; Mammalia; Rodentia; Bathyergidae.